This 1240-nucleotide ribosomal RNA is filed under the name metagenome. RNAcentral's name for it is "bacterial LSU rRNA". It matches the Rfam family "Bacterial large subunit ribosomal RNA", at positions 1564 to 2813 of the family's 2925-position model. The record is from RNAcentral.
UGAAUACGAGACGCUAAGGCGUCGAAGUAGUGUAUGUCAUACUUCCAAGAAAAGCUUGCACUGUCAUAAGUAAAAAAUGCCUGUACCAUAACCGACACAGGUGGGUAGGUAGAGUAUACUAAGGGGCGCGAGAUAACUCUCUCUAAGGAACUCGGCAAAAUAACUCCGUAACUUCGGGAGAAGGAGUACCUUAUUCUAUAAGGUUGCAAUAACAAGAUCCAAGCAACUGUUUAUCAAAAACACAGGUCUCCGCUAAGUCGUAAGACGAUGUAUGGGGGCUGACGCCUGCCCAGUGCCAGAAGGUUAAAGAAGUCGGUUAGCAUUAGCGAAGCUGGUAACUGAAGCCCUGGUGAACGGCGGCCGUAACUAUAACGGUCCUAAGGUAGCGAAAUUCCUUGUCGGGUAAGUUCCGACCCGCACGAAAGGCGUAAUGAUUUGGAUACUGUCUCGGAGAGGGGCUCGGUGAAAUAGACUUGUCUGUGAAGAUGCGGACUACCUGCACCAGGACAGAAAGACCCUAUGAAGCUUUACUGUAACUUGAAAUUGAAAUUGGACUUUAUUCGCGCAGUAUAGGUGGGAGGUGUUGAUUAUAAUCUUGCGGGAUUAUUGGAGCCAUCAGUGAGAUACCACUCUUGUAAUGUUAGAUUUCUAACUUUGAAUCAUUAUCUGGUCAAAGGACAGUUUCAGGCGGGCAGUUUGACUGGGGCGGUCGCCUCCCAAACGGUAACGGAGGCGUACAAAGGUUUCCUCUGAACGGGUAGAAAUCGUAUCUAGAGUGUAAAGGCAUAAGGAAGCUUGACUGUGAGACCUACAAGUCGAACAGGGACGAAAGUCGGUCUUAGUGAUCUGACGGUACUGAGUGGAAAGGCCGUCACUCAACGGAUAAAAGUUACUCUAGGAUAACAGGCUGAUCUCCCCCAAGAGUUCACAUCGACGGGGAGGUUUGGCACCUCGAUGUCGGCUCAUCGCAUCCUGGGGCGGUAGUACGUCCCAAGGGUUGGGCUGUUCGCCCAUGAAAGCGGUACGCGAGCUGGGUUCAGAACGUCGUGAGACAGUUCGGUCCAUAUCCGGUGUAGGCGUUAGAAUAUUGAGAGGAGCCUUCUUUAGUACGAGAGGACCGAGAAGGACAUACCUCUGGUGUACCAGUUAUCGUGCCAACGGUAAACGCUGGGUAGCUAUGUAUGGAGUGGAUAACCGCUGAAAGCAUCUAAGUGGGAAGCCCACCUCAAGAUAAGUAUUC